AUGACCUGGUCAGGCAAUGGGUGGCUGAAGGGUUUUUUUGCUGCAAGUGAAGGGCAAAACAUGGAGGAAGUUGCAGUAAUGUAUUUCGAUGAGCUUGUUGACAGAAGAUUCAUUCAACCUGUGUCUAUCAAUUUCAACAAUGAGGUGGUGUCCUGCCCAGUUCAUGCCAUGGUGCAUGAUCUUAUUGCCCACAAGUCUGCUGAAGAGAAUUUCCUUGUGGUAGUAGAUCACAAUCGAAAGAAUUUGGCACUUUCUCAUAAGGUCCGUCGACUAUCUCUCCAACUUGGUGAUGCAAAAUAUGCCAAGAUACCAGCAAACAUCAGAAAGUCACAAGUACGUUCACUUGGAGUUUUUGGAUUAUUAGAGUGCAUGCCUUGCAUUGGAGAGUUCAAGCUUGUUCGUGUUCUGAACCUUCAUCUGUCUGGCCAUCAUAAUGGCGACCAAGAACUGGCUGUGGACCUCACUAGGAUAUCUGGACUGUUCCAUCUUAUAUAUCUAAAGAUUGUAUGUGAUGUCUGCAUAAGACUUCCAAACCGUAUGAGAGGGCUGAAGUGCUUGGAAACAUUGGAUGUUAUGGAUACACCAACUGGCACUUAUGUUCCAUGGGACAUUAUAUAUCUCCCACGCUUGUUGCACCUCAGUCUUCCUCCCGAGAGAAAUCUGCUAGAUUGGUCUGUUGGUGAUAAUCUGAGCCUUUGCAAGCCAAACCACCUGCAGGAUCUUUGCAUGUCCACACCGGCUUCUUCAGAUUACGACCAUCUGGACAGAAGCAUGGAAGCUCUGGAUUAUUUAAUGUAUAGACAUGACAGCCUGAAAACUGUAAAACUGGUGGCUCAUGUAUCCUCGGUUAGCUAUGGUGACACUUCUAAAGCAAGAGUACGGUGGAGGUUAGAUAGACCUAACCACCAUAUCCAGAGAUUUGAGGUCUCAGCUUACAGCCCCAUCAUAUUUUGCAGAAUGCAUUUGUGGGAAAUCGAACUUGGCAACCUAUGCAUUCUGAAGAUUGCAGUGGAUGGACUGUCAGUAAAUGAUGUUGGUAUUCUUAGCGGGUUGCCUGCCCUUACUGCUCUGUCGCUGUAUGUGGAGAAGUCACCUGGUAUUAAGAUAAUGUUUUGCACGGGGGCUGGAUUCACAACUCUCAAGUACUUGAAGCUGAGGUUCAUGAGAGGUAUAGCUUGGAUAAAAUUUGAGGCGGACGCAAUGCCUAAUCUCUGGAAGCUCAGGCUCGUUUUCAACGCCAUCCCCCGAAUGGACAAACAGCUUGAUCUUUAUUUGAAGUCUGAGCAGUGGAAACAAUAUCGACAUGGUACUGCAUUAAUCAGCAUCGAGCAUAUGGCAAGCCUUAGAGAGGUCUCCGCAAAAUUCGGGGGUGCAGCUGGUGAUCUGCAGUUUGUCUCGAGGAUCGGCGUAGUUAGUAAUCAUCCGAGCAAUCCUAUAAUUGACGUGCAACUAGUGGAUUCUGGUUCCCAUGGUGAUAAAAGGAUAUCAUCGGAGUCCUCUUUGCGCCUGCAUCCUCCAAGUAUGCUAUUCAACACGAGUUGUAAACUUGUAAUAGAGAUGUUUUGUCAUCAGGUGAUAAAUUUGCUUGUAAGAAUUAGCAAAACGAUGGAUGAAUUGUUGGCUUUUGUCAGGUGCAGAUGGUGGAGAGCAGCAGGAUGUGGUCUCCUGGAGCAAUAUCAUUGGUGUGAUAGGUCGUGA
This 1698-nucleotide ribosomal RNA is filed under the name Triticum aestivum (bread wheat). RNAcentral's name for it is "partial small subunit ribosomal RNA". Lineage: Eukaryota; Viridiplantae; Streptophyta; Magnoliopsida; Poales; Poaceae. The record is from RNAcentral.